Molecule: long non-coding RNA, 2188 nt
Organism: Onychostoma macrolepis
Lineage: Eukaryota; Metazoa; Chordata; Actinopteri; Cypriniformes; Cyprinidae
Exons: 3
Source: RefSeq, a predicted model, not a curated record
CUCUAAUUAAGACUGAACACUGCGUGCGUGUGUGUGUUUCUACAUCUGAAAUGAAAAGAUUCAGGUGUUGGUUCCUGUUUAGUGUAUUUAUUUCUUACCAGAGAUCAGCUUGCCAAAGAAAGCAGAUGUCAACAUGGGCAGUUCGCAUGACAUGACUUCAUCUUUGAAAACCAUGAAGCAAACUAUGCAAGUGUGCGGGUUGGAAAGCGGCACUCCAGUCGGGACUCAGUGACUCCUCCGUCUCACUCCAACAGGUGUUGAUCUCACGGCAGGCCCUGACAGGAAGUUUCCGCAGCUCUCCACCAAACCCAUUGGAGUGCACAUCAGCCUGACGGACGGAUGAAUGACACCAGUGAAAAAGGAGCGCUAUCCUUCGGGCUAACCCGCUCAGGAUGAGUGACAGGGUGCAGGCGGGAGAAUAGACUGCCUUUGAACCUGAAAAAACUCUUUUUCCUCCCUUUCCCAACUCUUUUCUCCCCCUUUUCUCUUCUUCAAGGUGCAGAUUCCCCCCAAACUCUGGCCGAUCCUCUCUUUUCUCUGUGGUGGCGUUUUGUUUCGACUGGCUAAGGGUGUGUGUUUGUGUGUGUGUGUGGUGGGCAGUGCAGGGUGUGAGGCGUGUUAAAUGCUCUCCUUUCAGAGGCAGAAUGUGUCAGUCAGCUCACAGGCCCUGUUUUGUUUGGAGCUGUCAACUCUUCUGGAAGAGGGAGAGGAAAAAACGGGGGAGUGAAGAGGGAGAGAGAGAAAUCAGAGGGCAAGCGGAGAGGGACGUGUGGGUGUAGGGAGAGAGACAGCUGGGAGGCCUACAGGAGAGCCUGACCUCACCUCAAGAGCAAAGGGUCACUGGCAGGCCACUCACAACUAUUCCACAAAGCUGAAAUGAGUUAUUGAAUACUCAGCCCACAGCAGAAUAACUCAUGCAGCUAGAAGAGCAAAUGAUAUACAAAGUAUAGUAGCAUGAAGGUGUUUUGAAAAAGAGAAAUGGUAUAUGGCAAACUUAAAGGGACAGUACACUCACAAAAUAAUCAUUCUGUCAUCAAUUCUGUCACCUUCAUGUUCUUCCAAAUCUGUAUCGACUUUCUGUAGCAGAAUGUUGACGCAUAUACUCUGCAUUCAGUGUAAAUGUAAAUGAUGAACCGGGGCUGUCAAACUCAAAAAGUAAAAGGCACAAAAGUAGUCUAUAACUUUCAAGUCUUCUCAAACAAAUAUGAUAGCUUUGUAUGAGGAAAAUUACAAAAUUUAAAUUAUAUGUCAAUUUGAAAAAGUCAUUGAUGACUCUUAACUAUACAUAAUGUGGCAAGUUUGAAUAUAGACUAGUUUUGCUGUAUUGUAUUAUAAGUUAUUGAAUGCCUUUACAGAACUCCCGAAAAUAUAUAUAUAUAUAUAUAUAUUUUUUUAAAUAUAUUCACAUAAAUUUUCAGUAACACUUUAGAAUACUGUUUCUUACUUACUGCAUAACUAAUAAGGAAUUAUUGAAGAACUAACAGGUAAUUACUCAUUAACACGGUAAAAAGGACAAGUACAAAGUACUACUACAGUAGCAACUUUGUUACAGUCCACUACUAUUAUUAGCCUAUAAUGGAAAUGAAAUAUGCAUUUUGUUUGCUGCACACCCAAAAGGACUCAUUACAAUAAUUGUACAUAAGUUUUUGCCUGUAUGGUAAAUAAUUGCUUUGUGCGCAUGUUCUGUAGGAAAUAUGCUUCGUAAAGGAACCCCAACUCCACUGUCUUGCCAUAACUAUCCAACUUACUACAGAUACACUCUGUAACAUGCUGGUUUGUUUAUUUAUUUACCGAAACACUGGGAUGAAACUGUUGGGUCAUAUUUUUUUUUUUUUUUUUUUUAGUGUUGGGUAGUUUUUGUGUUGUGUUAACGCCUAAAUCGAAAUACUUCGGAUGUUAAAAUAUGUUCUCAGAGCUGUACACUGUUUAUGGGCAGGUUACGGAGUCAGUCACAGCAUAUUGCAGCUAUGAGUGAAACGCAGAGUGGAACCCAGCUCCCGCAUGAGAUCCAGCACCGCUACCGAGGAAACUGGAGACCGGUUGACUACACUUAAAUUGCUUUUAAAUAUUUAACUUUUGAUUGUAAAAUGUUUGUUAAAUUAGUUUAAAUGUGGGCUGUAUACAACGGAAUAAAAUAUGCUGUAUUAAGAAAUGUUCUCAUCUGAAUUAAAGAUUGCAAACAAGUUGU